UACAGAGGGUGCAAGCGUUGUUCGGAAUCAUUGGGCGUAAAGCGCGUGCAGGCGGGCGAGCAAGUCUGAUGUGAAAGCUCCGAGCUCAACUCGGAAAUGGCAUUGGAAACUACCUUGCUAGAGGGUUUGAGGGGGGACUGGAAUACUUGGUGUAGCAGUGAAAUGCGUAGAUAUCAAGUGGAACACCAGUGGCGAAGGCGAGUCCCUGGAAAACUCCUGACACUGAGGCACGAAAGCUAGGGGAGCAAACAGG
Molecule: ribosomal RNA, 253 nt
Filed under: uncultured bacterium
Lineage: Bacteria
Description: partial 16S ribosomal RNA
Rfam family: Bacterial small subunit ribosomal RNA
Source: RNAcentral